RNAcentral lists this unclassified non-coding RNA (353 nucleotides) under soil metagenome. RNAcentral's name for it is "partial contains 5.8S ribosomal RNA, internal transcribed spacer 2, and large subunit ribosomal RNA". The stretch from base 1 to 120 matches the Rfam family "5.8S ribosomal RNA", at positions 35 to 154 of the family's 154-position model. The record is from RNAcentral.
GAUGAAGAACGUAGUGAAAUGCGAUAAGUAAUGUGAAUUGCAGAAUUCAGUGAAUCAUCGAAUCUUUGAACGCACAUUGCGCCCGCCAGUAUUCUGGCGGGCAUGCCUGUUCGAGCGUCAUUACAACCCUCAGGCCCCCGGGCCUGGCGUUGGGGAUCGGCGGAAGCCCCCUGCGGGCACGACGCCGUCCCCCAAAUACAGUGGCGGUCCCGCCGCAGCUUCCAUUGCGUAGUAGCUAACACCUCGCAACUGGAGAGCGGCGCGGCCACGCCGUAAAACACCCAACUUCUGAAUGUUGACCUCGAAUCAGGUAGGAAUACCCGCUGAACUUAAGCAUAUCAAUAAGCGGAGGA